CAAUAGCGUAUAUUAAAGUUGUUGCAGUUAUAAAGCUCGUAGUUGGAUUUCUGGUCGGAAGCUCCUGUCCUCUGAUGAGCGUACAAGUGCGUCCUACCAUCCUUCUGUUAACCUUUAAGGCUUUCGCGGCUUUCUAGGGGCUCAGAUAUUUUACCUUGAGAAAAUUAGAGUGUUUCAGGCAGGCUAGCGCCGGAAUACAUUAGCAUGGAAUAAUGGAAUAGGACUUUUGCCUCUUCUGUUGGUCAUGAGGCUCGAGUAAUGAUUAAUAGGGAUAGUUGGGGGCAUUAGUACUUAACUGUCAGAGGUGAAAUUCUCGGAUUUGUUAAAGACUAACUUAUGCGAAAGCAUUUGCCAAGGAUGUUUUCAUUAA
RNAcentral lists this ribosomal RNA (370 nucleotides) under uncultured eukaryote. RNAcentral describes it as "partial 18S ribosomal RNA". It matches the Rfam family "Eukaryotic small subunit ribosomal RNA", at positions 592 to 976 of the family's 1831-position model. The record is from RNAcentral.